This 468-nucleotide ribosomal RNA is filed under the name uncultured bacterium. RNAcentral's name for it is "partial 16S ribosomal RNA". The stretch from base 62 to 468 matches the Rfam family "Bacterial small subunit ribosomal RNA", at positions 39 to 507 of the family's 1533-position model. The record is from RNAcentral.
GGGGGGGGGGGGGGGGGGGGGGGGGGGGGGCGGGGGGGGCGGGGGGGGCCGGGUGGGGGGGGGGGCGGGGGUGGCGGGCGGGGGGGUAACACGUGAGUAACCUGCCCUUUCCUGUGGGAUAACUUCCGGCACCUGGGGCUAGUACCGGGUCGGCGCUCCUGCUGCAUGGUGGGUGUUGGAACGUUUCGGCGGUUGGGGAUGGACUCGCGGCUUAUCAGCUUGUUGGUGGGGUAGCGGCUUACCAAGGCUUUGACGGGUAGCCGGCCUGAGAGGGUGACAGGCCACAUUGGGACUGAGAUACGGCCCAGACUCCUACGGGAGGCAGCAGUGGGGAAUAGUGCACAAUGGGCGGAAGCCUGAUGCAGCAACGCCGCGUGCGGGAUGACGGCCUUCGGGUUGUAAACCGCUUUCGCCUGUGACGAAGCGUGAGUGACGGUAAUGGGUAAAGAAGCACCGGCUAACUACGUG